This 440-nucleotide ribosomal RNA is filed under the name uncultured bacterium. Its description in RNAcentral is "bacterial SSU rRNA". It matches the Rfam family "Bacterial small subunit ribosomal RNA", at positions 338 to 770 of the family's 1533-position model. The record is from RNAcentral.
CCUACGGGAGGCAGCAGUAGGGAAUCUUCCGCAAUGGACGAAAGUCUGACGGAGCAACGCCGCGUGAACGAUGAAGGCCUUCGGGUCGUAAAGUUCUGUUGUUAGGGAAGAACAAGUGCUAGAGUAACUGCUAGCACCUUGACGGUACCUAACCAGAAAGCCACGGCUAACUACGUGCCAGCAGCCGCGGUAAUACGUAGGUGGCAAGCGUUGUCCGGAAUUAUUGGGCGUAAAGCGCGCGCAGGCGGUUUCUUAAGUCUGAUGUGAAAGCCCACGGCUCAACCGUGGAGGGUCAUUGGAAACUGGGAAACUUGAGUGCAGAAGAGGAGAGUGGAAUUCCACGUGUAGCGGUGAAAUGCGUAGAGAUGUGGAGGAACACCAGUGGCGAAGGCGACUCUCUGGUCUGUAACUGACGCUGAGGCGCGAAAGCGUGGGGAGCG